RNAcentral lists this unclassified non-coding RNA (155 nucleotides) under soil metagenome. RNAcentral's name for it is "partial internal transcribed spacer 1". The record is from RNAcentral.
UAAUAAGUGUUUUAUGGCACUUUUUAAAUCCAUAUCCACCUUGUGUGCAAUGUCAGUCGAUUCUUUUCGUCAUAGAAAAGGAUUGACCAAACAUCAACCUUAUUCUAAUUGAACUCUUUGUCUGAAAAAUAUUAUGAAUAAACUAAUUCAAAAUA